This 76-nucleotide transfer RNA is filed under the name Neisseria sp. RNAcentral describes it as "tRNA-Gln". It matches the Rfam family "tRNA". Rfam says of the family: Transfer RNA (tRNA) molecules are approximately 80 nucleotides in length. Their secondary structure includes four short double-helical elements and three loops (D, anti-codon, and T loops). Further hydrogen bonds mediate the characteristic L-shaped molecular structure. tRNAs have two regions of fundamental functional importance: the anti-codon, which is responsible for specific mRNA codon recognition, and the 3' end, to which the tRNAs corresponding amino acid is attached (by aminoacyl-tRNA synthetases). tRNAs cope with the degeneracy of the genetic code in two manners: having more than one tRNA (with a specific anti-codon) for a particular amino acid; and 'wobble' base-pairing, i.e. permitting non-standard base-pairing at the 3rd anti-codon position. Lineage: Bacteria; Pseudomonadati; Pseudomonadota; Betaproteobacteria; Neisseriales; Neisseriaceae. RNAcentral also lists the same sequence under 1 other name. The record is from RNAcentral.
UGGGGAGUCGUCAAGUGGUUAAGACUCUGGGUUUUGAUCCCAGCAUGCGUAGGUUCGAAUCCUACCUCCCCAGCCA